AGACAUUGAAGGUGACCUGGCUGUGACAAGCUACCCAAGCUAUUCUUACUGGCUUGCCGGUGUCCCCUUCUUGCUCCUCGGCAAUUCUGUGUCUGUUCUUCUUGAAGCAGAAUGCUCAGGCAAGAAAGACACUUUUUAAAAAAAAUGUUAAAGAACUAUCUAUGCCGAUUUCUGUUUGGUAGCAAAUUUCUAGUUUAAGUGUACCUCUUAGAAUUGAAAAAAAUGGCACUUGAACCUUAAAAGGAAUAAGAAAUCAUUUUAUGUAGAGCUUUCAGUUGAAAAGAAUCCUUUUCUAG
Myotis brandtii (Brandt's bat) is the source of this 296-nucleotide non-coding RNA. Lineage: Eukaryota; Metazoa; Chordata; Mammalia; Chiroptera; Vespertilionidae. The record is from Rfam.